GCCCCCAUCGUCUAGUGGCCUAGGACAUAGCCCUCUCACGGCUAAGACAGGGGUUCGAGUCCCCUUGGGGGUA
Molecule: transfer RNA, 73 nt
Filed under: Planctomycetota bacterium
Lineage: Bacteria; Pseudomonadati; Planctomycetota
Also listed under: 4 other names
Description: Planctomycetes bacterium (groundwater metagenome) tRNA-Glu
Rfam family: tRNA
About the family: Transfer RNA (tRNA) molecules are approximately 80 nucleotides in length.
Source: RNAcentral